Molecule: ribosomal RNA, 497 nt
Filed under: uncultured bacterium
Lineage: Bacteria
Description: partial 16S ribosomal RNA
Rfam family: Bacterial small subunit ribosomal RNA
Source: RNAcentral
GAUGAACGCUGGCGGCGUGCCUAAUACAUGCAAGUCGAGCGAACGGACGAGAAGCUUGCUUCUCUGAUGUUAGCGGCGGACGGGUGAGUAACACGUGGAUAACCUACCUAUAAGACUGGGAUAACUUCGGGAAACCGGAGCUAAUACCGGAUAAUAUUUUGAACCGCAUGGUUCAAAAGUAAAAGACGGUCUUGCUGUCACUUAUAGAUGGAUCCGCGCUGCAUUAGCUAGUUGGUAAGGUAACGGCUUACCAAGGCAACGAUACAUAGCCGACCUGAGAGGGUGAUCGGCCACACUGGAACUGAGACACGGUCCAGACUCCUACGGGAGGCAGCAGUAGGGAAUCUUCCGCAAUGGGCGAAAGCCUGACGGAGCAACGCCGCGUGAGUGAUGAAGGUCUUCGGAUCGUAAAACUCUGUUAUUAGGGAAGAACAUAUGUGUAAGUAACUGUGCACAUCUUGACGGUACCUAAUCAGAAAGCCACGGCUAACUACGUG